ACGUGACAAUAGUUCAGUUGGUAGAUCAUGCGACUCUUAAUCUCAGGUUUUUGGGUUUGAGCCCCAAGUUGGGCA
Podarcis lilfordi (Lilford's wall lizard) is the source of this 75-nucleotide non-coding RNA. Lineage: Eukaryota; Metazoa; Chordata; Lepidosauria; Squamata; Lacertidae. The record is from the annotation of a GenBank genome assembly.